This 202-nucleotide unclassified non-coding RNA is filed under the name uncultured Polyporales. RNAcentral describes it as "sequence contains ITS2". The record is from RNAcentral. Lineage: Eukaryota; Fungi; Basidiomycota; Agaricomycetes; Polyporales.
AACUCUCAAACCGUCGUCUUUAUGGACGUUCGGGCUUGGAUUUGGAUGUUGCUGGGUCUAACGACUUGGCUCAUCUUAAAAGCAUUAGCUGUCUCUCACGACUUCAGUUAACGGUGUGAUAAUUACAUCUACGCCGAAGCCUUCGGGCGCUGAGUUGGGUUAAAGCGGCUUCUAACCGUCUUCGGACAAUUUCAUUUCACAU